Molecule: ribosomal RNA, 227 nt
Filed under: uncultured bacterium
Lineage: Bacteria
Description: partial 16S ribosomal RNA
Rfam family: Bacterial small subunit ribosomal RNA
Source: RNAcentral
UGAGUAAUACGUAUCCAACCUGCCGUCUACUCUUGGACAGCCUUCUGAAAGGAAGAUUAAUACAAGAUGGCAUCAUGAGUCCGCAUGUUCACAUGAUUAAAGGUAUUCCGGUAGACGAUGGGGAUGCGUUCCAUUAGAUAGUAGGCGGGGUAACGGCCCGCCUAGUCUUCGAUGGAUAGGGGUUCUGAGAGGAGGGUCCCCCACAUUGGAACUGAGACACGGUCCAA